UUCUGUUGGAACAUAAAGGAGAGAAGGAGGAGAAGAAGAAGGAGAAGGAAUGAGAGAAAAAGUUUUCUCUCACCUUUUGGGAUCAGCUGAUCCAAGCUACUCAUUAGAUGGAGAUACUAGUGAGUUGUCAAGUUCUAGCACAGAUACUUUCGGAGUUGCUUCGAAUAGUUGGUGGGUUGUUCUAGAAGCAGAGGUGGAGCAUGGACCUGACUGUUGGUGUGAUGAUUGUGCCUUUGGAGGCUUGGAUUACUGAGUCACUUCAAUGAUUUUAGUUUAUAUAUUGUGUAUUUGUGUAGAUAAUAUGGAUGAUCAAAUAUAUAUGGACUUGGAAAUGUAUUAAAUUUAACUUUUGUGUGUAUAUGAAAUCAGUAUCACAUAGUUGACACUAGUUAUGUAUAAAUUUAUGUUAUAUAUGUGAUUUUAGUGAUCUUAGUGCACUA
This is a long non-coding RNA of Macadamia integrifolia, 440 nucleotides long. RefSeq lists it as uncharacterized. NCBI's taxonomy places the organism in Eukaryota, Viridiplantae, Streptophyta, Magnoliopsida, Proteales, Proteaceae. The transcript has 2 exons. The record is from RefSeq and is a predicted model, not a curated record.